This 388-nucleotide ribosomal RNA is filed under the name Salmonella enterica subsp. enterica serovar Typhimurium var. 5-. Its description in RNAcentral is "bacterial LSU rRNA". It matches the Rfam family "Bacterial large subunit ribosomal RNA", at positions 1547 to 1916 of the family's 2925-position model. Lineage: Bacteria; Pseudomonadati; Pseudomonadota; Gammaproteobacteria; Enterobacterales; Enterobacteriaceae. The record is from RNAcentral.
ACUUUAACACUGAGGCGUGACGACGAGGCACUACGGUGCUGAAGCAACAAAUGCCCUGCUUCCAGGAAAAGCCUCUAAGCAUCAGGUAACAUCAAAUCGUACCCCAAACCGACACAGGUGGUCAGGUAGAGAAUACCAAGGCGCUUGAGAGAACUCGGGUGAAGGAACUAGGCAAAAUGGUGCCGUAACUUCGGGAGAAGGCACGCUGACACGUAGGUGAAGUGAUUUACUCAUGGAGCUGAAGUCAGUCGAAGAUACCAGCUGGCUGCAACUGUUUAUUAAAAACACAGCACUGUGCAAACACGAAAGUGGACGUAUACGGUGUGACGCCUGCCCGGUGCCGGAAGGUUAAUUGAUGGGGUCAGCGUAAGCGAAGCUCCUGAUCGAA